This 497-nucleotide ribosomal RNA is filed under the name uncultured bacterium. RNAcentral's name for it is "partial 16S ribosomal RNA". It matches the Rfam family "Bacterial small subunit ribosomal RNA", at positions 28 to 507 of the family's 1533-position model. The record is from RNAcentral.
GAUGAACGCUGGCGGCGUGCCUAAUACAUGCAAGUCGAACGCAUAGCGAAAGGUCCUUGCACCUUUCAAGUGAGUGGCGAACGGGUGAGUACCACUUGGACAACCUGCCUCAAGGCUGGGGAUAACAUUUGGAAACAGAUGCUAAUACCGAAUAAAUCUUAGUGUCCCUUGACCCAAAGUUAAAAGGCGCUUCGGCGUCACCUAGAGAUGGAUCCGCGGUGCAUUAGCUAGUUGGUGGGGUAAAGGCCUACCAAGACAAUGAUGCAUAGCCGAGUUGAGAGGCUGAUCGGCCACAUUGGAACUGAGACACGGCCCAGACUCCUACGGGAGGCUGCAGUAGGGAAUCUUCCACAAUGGGCGAAAGCCUGAUGGAGCAACGCCGCGUGUGUGAUGAAGGCCUUCGGGUCGUAAAGCACUGUUGUAUGGGAAGAACAGCUAGAAUAGGAAAUGAUUAUAGUUUGACGGUACCAUACCAGAAAGGGACGGCUAAAUACGUG